CCGAGUUUACAACUCCCAAACCCAAUGUGAACGUUACCAACUGUUGCCUCGGCGGGGUCACGCCCCGGGUGCGUAAAAGCCCCGGAACCAGGCGCCCGCCGGAGGAAACCAACCAAACUCUUUCUGUAGUCCCCUCGCGGACGUAUUUCUUACAGCUCUGAGCAAAAAUUCAAAUGAAUC
RNAcentral lists this unclassified non-coding RNA (180 nucleotides) under soil metagenome. RNAcentral's name for it is "partial internal transcribed spacer 1". The record is from RNAcentral.